Long non-coding RNA from Leucoraja erinaceus (little skate), 1837 nucleotides. RefSeq lists it as uncharacterized. The record is from RefSeq and is a predicted model, not a curated record. Lineage: Eukaryota; Metazoa; Chordata; Chondrichthyes; Rajiformes; Rajidae. The transcript is spliced from 2 exons.
UCCAUUUUCCUAGUUACAUCCCCAAAGAUCUUGGACCGAUCCUGAUACUGCUAUCCAAAUGUGCCGCUAUUUCAUCUUUUAUAGUCAGAGUGAAGCUAUUGUGGGGGUGGGGAUCAGGGAGGGGAGGUGAGGGUGCGGGCGGUUGGAAUGUUGGGGGGUGGAACCGUGACACAAACUAACACUCUAGAAUGUAGCAUUUUGAACGAUGCAGCCAAUGGGCAGCGGCGUCGGGGGCGGGACAUAGAAACAGACACAGACACAGACAGACGGUGUUGGAGGAGGUCGUGUCUGGUGUCUGCUCUGCUCAGCUCAGCUCAGCUCAGCCAUACUCUACCCUACCCCACCUUACCCUACCCUCAUCUACCAUCAUCUACGAUUAUCUACUAUACUAUACUCUAGGUGCGGCGAGGACAGGCGGUGACCAGAAGGGGAGUAGUUGAAGUGGCCACGCUCCCACUCCUUGUUCCUGGAGCCACGGGGAAGCUUCUGCCGCUCGGACCCCGCAGGGACCAUCACUCGAAAAAGCUUUGCCCCUGGUGUACUGGUGGUUGGGCACAGCCUGGUACCAGUUAACAACGGCUAUCUCCUUGAUCGAUGUCUUUACUCCUUUCAGGUACGUGAUCAGGGGAUCCACAGACUCCCUUCCUCCACCUGGUCAACUGAAGCAGAGUCACCCAUCCCUGCUGCCUCCUCCAUCUCCUCCCCACCUCUGUACUGAACACACCCUCCCACAGGACACCCAGUCACACUGAACCCCUGAUAAACUCACCACAGAACAGCCCACACUCACUGCUACAGGUAAACUCGCCGUAGAACAGCCCAUUCUCACUGUACCCAACAAUGCCUUACAACGCUUACAGCGGCAGAGACCCAGAUUCCAUCCUGACUACGGGCGGUGUGGGGAAGGUUCGUGGACAGAAUAGGCAGAUGCAAGGCAGAGAACGAGGAAGGAGGGUAAGUUUAAACUGCACAUAAAGGGGCCUGACGGGUAAGGCAGAUGAGCUUAGGGUAGAUACGAGUGGAUAGAUACGAGUGACUGGGACGUUGUAGCCAUGAAUGAAACCUGGUUAAGGGAGGGGCAGGACUGGCAGCUCAAUGUUUUGGGCUACGGGAGCUUCAGGAAAGACAGGGGUGAGGGGAAAAGAGGAGGGGGGGUUGCAUUGUUGGUUGAUGAGGAUGUCACGGCAGUGUUCAGAGGUGACAUUACAGACGGAUCGUCUAGUGAGGCUAUAUGGGUGGAAUUGAGGAACAAGAAAGGGAUGAUCACCUUGUUGGGGGGGUACUACAGACCCCCAAAUAAUCAACGGGAAUUAGAAGAACAAAUGUACCGGGAGAUUGCAGACAGCUGCAGGUCAAAUAGGUUGUUGUAGAAGUGGAUUUUAACUUUCACAAUAUAGACUGGGAAAAUCAUAGCGUGAAGGAUUUAAAUGGGGUGCAAUUCCUCGAAAGUGUUCAGGAGAGUUUUCUUAAGCAGUAUGUGGAGACCCCCACAUGUGAGAGGGCAACACUGGAUCUAGCAUUAGGAAAUUGGGAAAGGCAAGUUAAUGUAGUGUGUGUGGAGGAGCCUUUUGGGUCCAGUGACCACAGUUCGAUUAGGUUUAAGAUAGUUAUGUAUGGGGACGGAGAGGGUCCACGUGUUAAAAUGCACAACUGGGUUAAGGCCAACUUUGAGGGCAUGAGAGAAAAUCUUGCUCAAGUUGACUGGAGCAUGUUAUUUGAGGGGAAAAGUGGAAUGUUUUAAGUGUGCUGACGAAAGCUCAGGAUAUGUAUGUCCCCGUAUAGAGUGAAGGGCAAAGCAAGCAAACGUAAGGAAGCUUGGCUGACGAGGGAAAUUGAG